GGGCGGACGUASCCAAGGGAAUUAGGGCAGG
Molecule: transfer RNA, 31 nt
Filed under: Riccardia longispica
Lineage: Eukaryota; Viridiplantae; Streptophyta; Jungermanniopsida; Metzgeriales; Aneuraceae
Description: partial tRNA-His
Source: RNAcentral